Molecule: long non-coding RNA, 403 nt
Filed under: Brachypodium distachyon (stiff brome)
Lineage: Eukaryota; Viridiplantae; Streptophyta; Magnoliopsida; Poales; Poaceae
Description: long non-coding RNA (BDIS_LNC001635)
Source: RNAcentral
UGUCACUCUGUAGCUGGACGGUGUUGUAUGGGAUUUGUAUUUCUUUUUUUUUACUGGGCUUGUCAAGUGUUGUGUGAACUUGUGUGUGUGUGGGCCUUGGCCGGGUCGGGGUGGCGCAGGUGUUGAGAGGAGGCGAGGCUUAAAGGGCUGUCGAGCAUCUGUAAGAUGACCAUCGAUGAAAAAGAAUUAACUCCUGCUACCGUUCUUCUUCCUUGCUCCUGGCGGCGCCUUCGUCGUGGUCUAAGGUUCUGCGGCUACAGCCUCACCGCCGGCUACGUUAGGGUGUGACAACUUGGUAUCAGAGACUCUCGGUCCUCGGCACGCUUCGCAAUCUCGCCGUCGGUCAGUAACAUCGACCGCUUGGUAGGGGAACACCUUCAGGUUGAUCCCCCUAAAUCCUGGC